GAGACCUGGUGACAGGAGCCAUGAGGGGCCAGGCCUCAGGUCCCACAGGGCUGGGAGCAUCCCCGGGGCAGGCGGAGGUCGGAGGUGGUGAGGCCUUUCGGCGAAGCUGAGGCCUGGAACAACCCGGUGGGAAGCCACGGAGGGGGUCCCCUAGCGGAGGCUGGGCGCGGGCCGGUGCGCGUGCGCGGCUGGAGGCUCAGCGCGCGAGCGUGCGCGUGAUUUGGCCCUGAACGGACGCCGUAGCCGAGAGGUUGGGCGGAUGUUGUGAACCGGGUCGCGGCGGCCGAGGCUCGGGCCUCCAGGACCACUGGCUGCCCAUGAGAGACGAAGGAUGGCAUCCAAGGGGGCCGGCGUGUCUUUCUCCCGCAAGAGCUGUAGGCUGACCUCAGAUGCUGAGAAAUCCAGGGUCACAGGCAUUGUGCAGGAGAAGCUGCUGAAUGACUACCUGAACCGCAUCUUUCCUCUUCUGACCAUGCACCCCCAGCAGCCACCGGCAGUUACUCGGGAGGCUGAGGCAGGAGAAUCGCUUGAACCGGAGAGGCGGACGUUGCAGUGAGCCGAGGUCAAACCAGUGCACUCCAGCCUGGGCAACAGAGCGAGACUCCAUCUGAAAAAGAAACAAAAAGAAAAAAAAA
Long non-coding RNA from Homo sapiens (human), 635 nucleotides. The record is from Ensembl. Lineage: Eukaryota; Metazoa; Chordata; Mammalia; Primates; Hominidae.